This 512-nucleotide long non-coding RNA is filed under the name Cricetulus griseus (Chinese hamster). Its description in RNAcentral is "lncRNA (ENSCGRG00000025362.1)". Lineage: Eukaryota; Metazoa; Chordata; Mammalia; Rodentia; Cricetidae. The record is from RNAcentral.
UGUAGCUUUUAUUCCAGAUCCUUGAAAGAAAAUGGAGCCAUUAUUGACUUUGUCCCAAUGGCUCCAGCUUUGCAAACCUAGCAAAGGCAUCUGAGGGUAUCAAUAACAAGCCCUCACUCGGGCAUGGAGUCAUUAUUAGGCACUAAGUUCCUCUAUCUUUCCCAAACAGCUGCAGCCUGCAUUGAAAAGACAACUCCGGCAUCACACACCAAUGGGAGAGAGACUUCAAACUCACAUUCUCUGUGCUGUCUUCGAAAUGCUGCCGUUGUCGGUUGCUUUCUUUGGUGAUGUAUCUUCAGAAACGCACAGGAAAGCAGAGAGUGACCCAAGUUGACAGAUCAGCACAAUGUAUGAUCUACACGGUUUCAUUGGAAAUCCUUUUGACAUCACUGUGGCUGCAUAGACCCUGCAGUGUACAGAAACCUGAACUCUUCAAGAUAUUAAGGUAUUUCAUAUGAGAAUACCUUUGAUGGUUUUUUUCUUUGCCUUUAAUAAGUCUUAUACAUUUUUUC